This 433-nucleotide ribosomal RNA is filed under the name uncultured bacterium. RNAcentral describes it as "partial 16S ribosomal RNA". It matches the Rfam family "Bacterial small subunit ribosomal RNA", at positions 29 to 507 of the family's 1533-position model. The record is from RNAcentral.
AACGAACGCUGGCGGCAUGCCUAACACAUGCAAGUCGAACGAGACCUUCGGGCCUAGUGGCGCACGGGUGCGUAACGAGUGGGAAAUUGCCCUUAGGUUCGGUAUACCUCCCCGUAGGGGGUGCUCAUACCGGUUAAUGUCUUCGGACCAAAGAUUUAUUGCCUUUGGAUGGGCCCGCGUUGGUUUAGCUAGUUGGUAGGGUAAAAGCCUACCAAGGCGACGAUGCAUAGCUGGUCUGAGAGGAUGAUCAGCCACACUGGGACUGAGACACGGCCCAGACUCCUACGGGAGGCAGCAGUGGGGAAUAUUGGACAAUGGGCGAAAGCCUGAUCCAGCAAUGCCGCGUGAGUGAUGAAGGCCUUAGGGUUGUAAAGCUCUUUUACCCGGGAUGAUAAUGACAGUACCGGGAGAAUAAGCUCCGGCUAACUCCGUG